This 1354-nucleotide ribosomal RNA is filed under the name uncultured bacterium. RNAcentral describes it as "bacterial SSU rRNA". It matches the Rfam family "Bacterial small subunit ribosomal RNA", at positions 39 to 1399 of the family's 1533-position model. The record is from RNAcentral.
GCGGCGUGCCUAACACAUGCAAGUCGAACGAAGCGCUUGAAUGGAUUUCUUCGGAUUGAAGCUCGAGUGACUGAGUGGCGGACGGGUGAGUAACGCGUGGGUAACCUGCCUCAUACAGGGGGAUAACAGUUAGAAAUGGCUGCUAAUACCGCAUAAGCACACAGCAUCGCAUGAAGCAGUGUGAAAAACUCCGGUGGUGUGAGAUGGACCCGCGUCUGAUUAGCUAGUUGGUGGGGUAACGGCCUACCAAGGCGACGAUCAGUAGCCGACCUGAGAGGGUGACCGGCCACAUUGGGACUGAGACACGGCCCAAACUCCUACGGGAGGCAGCAGUGGGGAAUAUUGCACAAUGGGGGAAACCCUGAUGCAGCGACGCCGCGUGAGCGAAGAAGUUUUUCGGUAUGUAAAGCUCUAUCAGCAGGGAAGAAAAUGACGGUACCUGACUAAGAGGCCCCGGCUAACUACGUGCCAGCAGCCGCGGUAAUACGUAGGGGGCAAGCGUUAUCCGGAUUUACUGGGUGUAAAGGGAGCGUAGACGGAUGUGCAAGUCUGAAGUGAAAGCCCGGGGCUCAACCCCGGGACUGCUUUGGAAACUGUGUAUCUAGAGUGCCGGAGAGGUAAGCGGAAUUCCCAGUGUAGCGGUGAAAUGCGUAGAUAUUGGGAGGAACACCAGUGGCGAAGGCGGCUUACUGGACGGUAACUGACGUUGAGGCUCGAAAGCGUGGGGAGCAAACAGGAUUAGAUACCCUGGUAGUCCACGCCGUAAACGAUGACUACUAGGUGUCGGGGUCGCAAGACUUCGGUGCCGGAGUUAACGCAUUAAGUGCUCCGCCUGGGGAGUACGCACGCAAGUGUGAAACUCAAAGGAAUUGACGGGGACCCGCACAAGCAGCGGAGCAUGUGGUUUAAUUCGAAGCAACGCGAAGAACCUUACCAGGACUUGACAUCCCUCUGACCGGUCCUUAACCGGACCUUUCUUCGGACAGAGGAGACAGGUGGUGCAUGGUUGUCGUCAGCUCGUGUCGUGAGAUGUUGGGUUAAGUCCCGCAACGAGCGCAACCCUUGCUGUUAGUUGCCAUCAUUCAGUUGGGCACUCUAACGGGACUGCCGGGGACAACUCGGAGGAAGGUGGGGAUGACGUCAAAUCAUCAUGCCCCUUAUGUUCUGGGCUACACACGUGCUACAAUGGCCGGUACAGAAAGCAGCGAAGUCGCGAGGCGGAGCAAAUCUCGAAAACCGGUCCCAGUUCGGACUGCAGGCUGCAACUCGCCUGCACGAAGCCGGAGUUGCUAGUAAUCGCGGAUCAGAAUGCCGCGGUGAAUGCGUUCCCGGGUCUUGCACACACGGCCCGUCA